UCUAGAGAGACUGCCAGGGAUAACCUGGAGGAAGGUGGGGAUGACGUCAAAUCAUCAUGCCCCUUAUGCUUAGGGCUACACACGUGCUACAAUGGGUAGUACAGAGGGUUGCCAAGCCGUAAGGCGGAGCUAAUCCCUUAAAGCUACUCUCAGUUCGGAUUGUAGGCUGAAACUCGCCUACAUGAAGCUGGAGUUACUAGUAAUCGCAGAUCAGAAUGCUGCGGUGAAUGCGUUCCCGGGUCUUGUACACACCGCCCGUCACACCACGGGAGCUGGAGACGCCCGAAGCCGAUUAUCUAACCUUUUGGAAGAAGUCGUCGAAGGUGGAAUCAAUAACUGGGGUGAAGUCGUAACAAGGUAGCCGUAUCGGAAGGUGCGGCUGGAUCACCUCCUUUCUAAGGA
Molecule: ribosomal RNA, 402 nt
Filed under: Clostridioides difficile
Lineage: Bacteria; Bacillati; Bacillota; Clostridia; Peptostreptococcales; Peptostreptococcaceae
Description: bacterial SSU rRNA
Rfam family: Bacterial small subunit ribosomal RNA
Source: RNAcentral